RNAcentral lists this ribosomal RNA (449 nucleotides) under uncultured bacterium. RNAcentral's name for it is "partial 16S ribosomal RNA". It matches the Rfam family "Bacterial small subunit ribosomal RNA", at positions 29 to 523 of the family's 1533-position model. The record is from RNAcentral.
AACGAACGCUGGCGGCAUGCCUAAUACAUGCAAGUCGAACGAUCACUUCGGUGGUAGUGGCGCACGGGUGCGUAACGCGUGGGAAUCUGCCCUUGGGUUCGGAAUAACGUCGGGAAACUGACGCUAAUACCGGAUGAUGACGUAAGUCCAAAGAUUUAUCGCCCAGGGAUGAGCCCGCGUAGGAUUAGCUAGUUGGUGGGGUAAAGGCCUACCAAGGCGACGAUCCUUAGCUGGUCUGAGAGGAUGAUCAGCCACACUGGGACUGAGACACGGCCCAGACUCCUACGGGAGGCAGCAGUAGGGAAUAUUGGACAAUGGGGGCAACCCUGAUCCAGCAAUGCCGCGUGAGUGAUGAAGGCCUUAGGGUUGUAAAGCUCUUUUACCCGGGAUGAUAAUGACAGUACCGCAAGAAUAAGCCCCGGCUAACUUCGUGCCAGCCGCCGCGGUAA